RNAcentral lists this ribosomal RNA (301 nucleotides) under uncultured bacterium. Its description in RNAcentral is "partial 16S ribosomal RNA". It matches the Rfam family "Bacterial small subunit ribosomal RNA", at positions 509 to 807 of the family's 1533-position model. The record is from RNAcentral.
CAGCAGCCGCUGUAAUACGUAGGGUGCGAGCGUUAAUCGGAAUUACUGGGCGUAAAGCGUGCGCAGGCGGUUUUGUAAGACAGGCGUGAAAUCCCCGGGCUCAACCUGGGAAUGGCGCUUGUGACUGCAAAGCUAGAGUGCGGCAGAGGGGGAUGGAAUUCCGCGUGUAGCAGUGAAAUGCGUAGAUAUGCGGAGGAACACCGAUGGCGAAGGCAAUCCCCUGGGCCUGCACUGACGCUCAUGCACGAAAGCGUGGGGAACAAACAGGAUUAGAUACCCCCGUAGUCCCUGUCUCUUAUAC